This 432-nucleotide ribosomal RNA is filed under the name uncultured Subdoligranulum sp. Its description in RNAcentral is "bacterial SSU rRNA". It matches the Rfam family "Bacterial small subunit ribosomal RNA", at positions 341 to 792 of the family's 1533-position model. Lineage: Bacteria; Bacillati; Bacillota; Clostridia; Eubacteriales; Oscillospiraceae. The record is from RNAcentral.
ACGGGAGGCAGCAGUGGGGGAUAUUGCACAAUGGGGGAAACCCUGAUGCAGCGACGCCGCGUGGAGGAAGAAGGUUUUCGGAUUGUAAACUCCUGUCGUAAGGGACGAUAAUGACGGUACCUUACAAGAAAGCCACGGCUAACUACGUGCCAGCAGCCGCGGUAAAACGUAGGUGGCAAGCGUUGUCCGGAAUUACUGGGUGUAAAGGGAGCGCAGGCGGGCUGUCAAGUUGGAAGUGAAAUCUAUGGGCUCAACCCAUAAAUUGCUUUCAAAACUGAUGGUCUUGAGUAGUGCAGAGGUAGGCGGAAUUCCCGGUGUAGCGGUGGAAUGCGUAGAUAUCGGGAGGAACACCAGUGGCGAAGGCGGCCUACUGGGCACCAACUGACGCUGAGGCUCGAAAGCAUGAGUAGCAAACAGGAUUAAUACCUGGUA